Molecule: ribosomal RNA, 253 nt
Filed under: uncultured bacterium
Lineage: Bacteria
Description: partial 16S ribosomal RNA
Rfam family: Bacterial small subunit ribosomal RNA
Source: RNAcentral
UACGUAGGGUGCGAGCGUUAAUCGGAAUUACUGGGCGUAAAGCGUGCGCAGGCGGUUCGUUGUGUCGGCGGUGAAAGCCCCGGGCUCAACCUGGGAAUGGCCGUUGAAACUGGCGAACUGGAGUAUGGCAGAGGGGGGUGGAAUUCCGCGUGUAGCAGUGAAAUGCGUAGAGAUGCGGAGGAACACCGAUGGCGAAGGCAGCCCCCUGGGCUGACACUGACGCUCAGGCACGAAAGCGUGGGGAGCAAACAGG